Molecule: ribosomal RNA, 460 nt
Filed under: uncultured bacterium
Lineage: Bacteria
Description: partial 16S ribosomal RNA
Rfam family: Bacterial small subunit ribosomal RNA
Source: RNAcentral
CCUACGGGGUGCAGCAGUGAGGAAUAUUGGUCAAUGGACGCAAGUCUGAACCAGCCAUGCCGCGUGCAGGAAGACGGCUCUAUGAGUUGUAAACUGCUUUUGUACGAGGGUAAACGCAGAUACGCGUAUCUGUCUGAAAGUAUCGUACGAAUAAGGAUCGGCUAACUCCGUGCCAGCAGCCGCGGUAAUACGGAGGAUUCAAGCGUUAUCCGGAUUUAUUGGGUUUAAAGGGUGCGUAGGCGGUCGGAUAAGUUAGAGGUGAAAUCCCGAGGCUCAACUUCGGAAUUGCCUCUGAUACUGUUCGUCUAGAGAGUAGUUGCGGUAGGCGGAAUGUAUGGUGUAGCGGGGAAAGGCUUAGAGAUCAUACAGAACACCGAUUGCGAAGGCAGCUUACCAAGCUACUUCUGACGUUGAGGCACGAAAGCGUGGGGAGCAAACAGGAUUAGAUACCCGAGUAGUC